UCCCUCGUGGUCUAGUGGCUAUGAUCUGGCGCUCUCACCGCCAUGACCCGGGUUCGAGUCCCGGCGUGGGAA
This 72-nucleotide transfer RNA is filed under the name Dendronephthya gigantea. RNAcentral's name for it is "tRNA-Glu". It matches the Rfam family "tRNA". From Rfam's summary of the family: Transfer RNA (tRNA) molecules are approximately 80 nucleotides in length. Lineage: Eukaryota; Metazoa; Cnidaria; Anthozoa; Malacalcyonacea; Nephtheidae. The record is from RNAcentral.